This 1041-nucleotide ribosomal RNA is filed under the name uncultured Neocallimastigales. RNAcentral describes it as "partial large subunit ribosomal RNA". The stretch from base 246 to 1041 matches the Rfam family "Eukaryotic large subunit ribosomal RNA", at positions 1 to 635 of the family's 3401-position model. Lineage: Eukaryota; Fungi; Neocallimastigomycota; Neocallimastigomycetes; Neocallimastigales. The record is from RNAcentral.
GGUACACGCUGUGACUAGCAUAUCAAUAAGCGGAGGAAAAGAGGGCUAUUACCUACGCUUAGGAUGUUGACACACGCGCGUGCUCGAUGCUAGUCUAUACAUGACUCUGUGCAUAUCAAUAAGCGGAGGAAAAGUCAAUGCUAUACCUACGCUUAGGAUGUUGACACACGCGCGUGCUCGACUCUAUACAUGACUCUGUGCAUAUCAAUAAGCGGAGGAAAAGUCAAUACCUACGCUUAGGAUGUUGACACACGCGCGUGCUCGACUCUAUACAUGACUCUGCGCAUAUCAAUAAGCGGAGGAAAAGAAACUAACAAGGAUUCCCCUAGUAACGGCGAGUGAAGCGGGAAGAGCUCAAAUUUGAAAUCUUAAAGGGUUUCCCUUUACGAAUUGUAGUUUAAAGAAGUGUUUUCUGUUGAGGUUUUGGUAAAAGUUCUUUGGAAUAGGACAUCAUAGAGGGUGAGAAUCCCGUAUUUGACCUUUACUUUCAACUUUGUGAUACACUUUCAAAGAGUCGGAUUGUUUGGGAAUGCAGUCCAAAAUGGGUGGUAAAUUUCAUCUAAAGCUAAAUAUUGGCGAGAGACCGAUAGCGAACAAGUACCGUGAGGGAAAGAUGAAAAGAACUUUGAAAAGAGAGUUAAACAGUACGUGAAAUUGUCAAAAGGGAAGCGUUUGACACCAGUGUUGUUUUUCUGAAAAUCAAUUAAAGAACUGUUUAUGCUAAGCUGUUUAGACUUUAUCAGCUAUCUGUUUAGUUUUGAGCUUUUCUUUAAUGCACUUUUCAGUUAACAAGUCAACAUCAAUUUCUUUUGCUGUAAAAAAGCUUGAGGAAGGUGGCUUGAGAUUCGUCUUAAGUGUUUAUAGCCUCUUGCCUAUGCAGUCGGAGAGAUUGAGGUCUGCAGCGUAGAUCCUUCGGGGCUAAAUGCAUUUGUGCUAAGUUAUAGCAUUUUAUAGACAACUUGUUGACUAUGAUUUGUCUUGUAGCUUACUCGCUUAUGUUAUUUUACCUACGCUUAGGAUGUUGAUCUACAGAGCGAGAGU